UGACUGACGGAAUAUAUUUAUUUUUUAUCAGUCUCUUCUGUGUAUGUUACCACACUAGUUGGACUAGUGUAAGAACGGCUUCCAGGAAGACUCCUUCUGUCCACUCAGCUGACUCACUCUGUGUUGUGACUUUAAGCACUGGACCACAGAUUGUAUUGGGGUCUGAGUGUGCCCUGUGGUAUCUGUAGGUAGUUGAGGAAAAAUAAAAUUUAAAAUCUAUGAAGCCAGAAGUCACUCUAUGGAUAUUUUUUUUCCUAAUCAACAGAUAUGUAAAAUUAGUAGGCAUCUGGAUUUGGUUUUCAUUGAUACCUCGUUAAACUAGAAAUCUUCUCCAGUCAGAAAUACACUCAGUGCUACAAAUACCAUUAUAAGUGACAUAGACCCUUUUUUUUUGCAUUUUCAAUAGAAAUCAAGAGAAAUAUAAUUUAUUAAACUGCUGUGUUGAUAGGAGGCAGAAUUCUACCAGAAGCACAAAUUUGAGUUUACUCAAGUUUCUUCAGGUUGACUGUGUGUAGCUGCUUGAAUAUCCAUUCACUGUGUAUCUUAGCUUAUCUAAUACAUUUUUUUCUCUGAAGCAGUGUGGGAUUCCAAAUGUAAAGAAACAUACAACUGCCUCUGAUGCAACAAAAUGACCUGAAGCGCGCACGCACGCACACACACACGCGCGCGCGCACACACACACACACACAUACAGUGGAUUGAACCAGCAAUGAGUGUUAGAAGCAUUCAGACAUUAGUAAGUGGACGAAAAUGUUGCAGUCUUGUGAAUGCUCUUAUGAACUGAAAGAUUUUUGGAAGAUGUUUGGUGACUUAAAAUACAUCAUGUGCUCCUUGAGGAUAAAAUUUAAAAUAAAAUGAAAUCAGAUGCGUUUUUAGGUUUGAAACCAGAGUUUCUUACUACUUCAAUUUUGAGUCCUUUGUAAAGAUGGUUUCGAAGAUAACGAAGUUUUUUUUUUUUUAAAAAAUAGCGUCCCUCCAGAGAACUGAAGUCUAGCCAAAUCCCUCAACAUAGAAAAUUCACUUAAAAGAGAAAAGCAAGUCAUCCUGUUUCACUUGGUUAUUUUCUCUCCCAAGUAUGGAAUACAGAAAUCUAGAAAGCAGGGUAACAGUGAGUUAAUAUUCAUCAUGUUUUGUUUGUCUUGGCUUCUAAAUUACACAUUUCUUAAAUUUCUGGUUUGCAUAAUUUCUGUAUUUACUCAACCAGCCUCAUAUCUUAUCCAAGUUUUCACGUUAAAGUGAAAAUCCUAGUUCAUUUUCCUCAAGUUUUCCUUCUCUCUUCCCAGACAUUGUUCAUCAUUUUUUUCUAAGAGUCUGUUUACCCAGCGCAUGAUGGCAGGGUAUUUUGUUUUUGAAACAAAAUUUAAACACAUUAACACACAAUCAACGAUGUGUAUAAUACGUAUGGGUGAAUGCAAUUACAUGAUCCAUUUAUAUCAUCUAUAGCUAAAUACAGGAUGCCAGUUGUUGGUUGGUGUGUAAGUGGUUAUGCCUUUGAUUAAAUUAUCUCCACUAGUUAUGCCUAUAACAGCAUAGAAAUCUUCUUUUUCCCAAAUUUUCUAGGAUAUUAUUAUGUGUAGGAUUUCUGUGAUACAAGUUUCCUCAAAUAUUGAUCUUUCUCACAAACCUAGCUCUUAUAGUUGCAUUCAGAUAGAGCUGAAUCAAUGUGUUAAGUUAAACAACGCUAUCCGCAGUGACAAGUGACUUGCAAAUACCUGUGGCAUAACCUAAGCAUGGUUGAUAGGAUGUGGUGGAAGGCUCUACUACAUUCAGCCAUUCAGGGGCCCAGGUUCCAUAUAUUUUAUGGCUCUUAUGCUCCCCUGAGGCCUUAGAAUUUGACUGAAUCAUUUACAAGCAAAUGGUAGAAAAAGGAAGAAAGAAUGCAUGGAGAACCAUUGCGGCUUGGGGGGUGAGGGAUGAAGGUUAAGGACCUAGUCUAGCAGUGGCAGAUACCUCUUGCAUCCACAUUAUGUGGGCCAGGAUUCAGUCAUAUGGCCUGGCAGUAUCACAGAGGAGACUGGGAAAUCUCAAACAUGGCACCGAGGUGGGAAAGAAUAUGGAGUUUGGUGAGUUCAUAGCAUUGUCUCUGCCACCAUACAGGUCGACCUGCUAUGAUUUCAGAGAUACUGUGAAGGCCCCUGAUGUUCUCUCGCCAUUCUCCUAUGGCAAGCUGAUUCCUUGAUUUAGCUUGCAUUCAGGUUGAAUAGCAGCACUGAUUUCUGUUAGGUAAGACUUUAAAAUAUUAUCAGUUGUUUUAGCUCCUGUGUGGAUUAGGCUUUGAAAGCAGGUCUUAUUUGAAGGUGGGUAGAAAAAAUUCCCAGGGUUGUGGGGUACCAGCUGGAUAGUGGGAUGAAAUACUGCAGGGAGAGCAAAGUGGUUGACCAGUUAUUUCUUACCUUCUUACAGUGGCCUAACUACUGACUGCCCAAGAAGAAUAGUUUUAAAAUCUCCUGGACCCCGUCUUUUCUCAUUCCAACCACUGUUGUUUCUUUUCCUCUCCUGUAGUCUUAGUUGGGUUCUCCAAGAAACAAACUCUGAAAUGAAGAUGUGCAUGCAAGUAAUUUAUUGGGGAAUGCUCAUAACACCUUUGGAGGAAGGACAGAAGUAGGAUGGAGAGAGGGAGGAGUUGAAAAGGUCAUGGGUUAGAAAGCUUUAGAGCUUUUGAUGAAUUGUCAAAGUUGCCCUGCCUUGAGACAAGGGGGCCAGGCCUUGAUAAUAUCUCUCUCCAUUUGGCAGUCGUUGGGUGCUUGCUGCACUCAGAGAAGGGGGUAUUAGCUAGGGUCAGGUGGCUCUCUUCAGUGAUGGGUAAUGCCUAGAGAGGAAGUCAGCUGUGAGUAGUCACUGUCUAAUCCUCCUGGCAGUUGGGAGUCUAGGCAUCACACUGUAGUAUCUACUACACUAGUGACGUCCAUCUCUAAGAAAUAGAUUCAUACCCAAGUUCUAUUUCAGAGAUGAUAAUGCCUAGGCUUCUACCACUGCUUUUCUAUAACCACCCCCCCACACCUCCUCAGGAUACUUUAUGAGGAGUAUGAAAGAGGAGCCCACCAAUGUGCUUUCAAAGGCUGUAGUUGUAUUUAGCAAAAUGCUUUUGCAAAGACCAGCUUUGUUCAAGCUCUGGGUUUCACAUCUACCUCCUACCAGCCUAGAAUCACCUCCUCAAUUUGCCUAGCUUAUAAAAAAUAUGCUCAUUCUUUCAAGUGUGUAUUUUCACUUUGAUGAGGCACUCUCUGCUUUCCUGCAUUUUAAGGGAAUUCACACUCAUCAGAGAUCUUUUGUGGUAAUUACUAUCUGAGUUCUACCUCUGGUACUCAUUAGGUCCUGUUUUACAUCGCUAACUAUCUUUUCCUGUGUGUAUCUUCACUCUAAAAUAGAAGUAGUUAAGAGGAAAAGUUAUGGUUUAUAUUUCAUGAAUCAUCAUCAUCCACAUUUGGUACAAGUCUACAGUUAUUUCAUUAGUUUGACUAAUAUUUAUUAUGCACCUCUUAUGUUCAAGGCAAUAUGUAGGAUCCUGAGGAGACUUAAGUGAGAAUUAUCACACUAAAGAAGAUGAUUCUUGUGAGCAAGAAGGACACACCUUUAGUUCCAAUGCAAAUAGUACUAAUAGGAGUUUAAGGCGGUAGGGAAGGAUCUAAACUGUUUGGACAGAGAUGGGCUAGGGGGGUAAGGGCAUGGGUCUAGGAAGGUGUCAAAGAGUUUAGUAACCAAAAUAUGAUGGUAUAAAGAACUCUGAAGCCCACGUGCUUGCUUCAAGGAUGGUUAUUACAACGGAAGAUCGGAAAGCAGAAACAGACAGAGCCUAAGACUUCAUGGUAGUGGGCAUUAAUUUAUGGAACUAUGGGAUGAACCUAGGGUUUCUUAGUUUUGUUGCUGUUGACAUUUUGGGCUUCAUAAUUCUUUGUCCUAGGGGGAUGUCCUAUACUAUGUAGAUGUUUAGCAGUAUCCCUGGCUUCUACCCACUAACUGCCAGUAGUGCUCCUCGGAUUUGACAACCAAAAACAAAAUCUCUGGAUAUUGCCAAGUGUCUACUAGAGGUCCAUAUCAUUCCCAGUUGAGGACAACUUGGCUAGCAACUUUAAAGAUAGGCAGUACUUGCCAUGACAGCAGCUUCUCUGUGAGCAAUGGACAUUUCUUUUGUGAGAUAGAAAAGUGAGGAGUGUAUUUACUGCUAAUGGAAGUCCAGGUGCUGACACACUCUCUUGGGAGUAAUGUGCUUGAGGUGGGUGUUUUACUAUCUAUUCUCGAUGAUCUGUCUACCUCACAAAAAUAUCUCUACAGUUGAGUUCUGGUACAUGGACCCGAUUUUCCCCAAAGUUAAUAGCUCAGCUUUUUCAAGUGUUUCUUGUGGAGUACAUGGUCAUGGAAUAAAGAGAUCAGAGUUAAUAAUCAUUUGUUUAUUAUUUUUUGGAAACUUUGACCAGCAGGGAAGUAUGAGGAUUUUUAGAAAUCACCAGGGUACAGUGAAAGUUGCCAAUAAAAAUGUAAAAUAAUACAGAUGUUGUUAUGAAGCAGAAACAUGUUAUGUUUUAAAUAAAUCAGUAUUCUUAACUAUUAGCAAGAGAACUUGAGUUUUUAAAAAAGAACAAUGGUAUUAUAAUUUUAUUAUCUUUUUCCUACACAUCUGGAAUUUUGAAAAAAACUUAUUGAAUAAAAAAAAAUCCCAUUAGAUUAUUUAAGUCAUUCUUGAGUUUAAUUGUAGUUUUGAGAAUAUAUGGAAAAGUUCUGCCUCAAAUCUCCUCUUCUUUUACAGAAUCCUUUUAAUAUUUUGUAAGAAUAUUGUGAGUUAUUGCCUGAUAUACGUAGACAAACUUUCAGAAGUAGUCUACAAAUUUUGUUUUAAAAUCACACAUUACUUUUGUUAUGUAACUAUAAGAUUUGAAAAAGAGACCAAUAAGAAAGUAAAUGUAAUUUAUAAUAUUAUUUAUUAUUUGUAGACAUUUUUCUUACUAUAUUUUAGUAGCCCCCAAACUCUAAUGGGCAUAAGAAUCAUAGUGAGAACUUGUUUAAAAAGCAUGUUCUACAUAUACUAAAAAAGAAGGAUCAAGUCUGGGGCUUAGGAAACAGCAUUUUCACAGGUACCUGAGAUGAUCUUGAUUCGGUGGUCUAUAAAAAGCACUCGGAAAAAGUGAUAUGAUUUCUUACGUUGCCAUCAUCUCUGUAUUAUACACUGACUAGUUACAGGAGGGAAGAAACUAUGGCUUUUUACCUUUGCUUUGUCUAUUUUAAAAAGAGUCCUG
Molecule: long non-coding RNA, 5231 nt
Filed under: Sus scrofa (pig)
Lineage: Eukaryota; Metazoa; Chordata; Mammalia; Artiodactyla; Suidae
Description: lncRNA (ENSSSCG00040011945.1)
Source: RNAcentral